AAUGUUGAAACAUGGAAAUAAUAAGCGAUGACCUGUGGAAGACAUAUUUUGUGCACAUUGUUUCUUUCAGCAGAAAUAGGUAAACUUUAUUUUCGUGACAUUUCUUAAGGGACUACUUGUUUUUGCGGAAGCAUGAAGGGCGGUGGAUAGACAGCGUCACAUCGCCUAUAAAUUCCUCUGAACAACUGCACUGCACCAGUUCUUGCGCUAUGGUAGAGAAUGACUGAUGAAUCGCCUGCAAUGCUUUUCGUUAGUGUUUCUGCGUAACAAUAGUCGGUUUAUUUCUGAGUUAUAUUCUAUAUAGGUUCGCUGUUCUAUUAGGUUUCUUUGUGAAAAAUAUUUAUUUCGUUUCUUAGCUAAGACGAAUUACUUCAGGUAGUGUAACUUUAGUGUUAACUGCGGUGUCAAAGUGAGUGUCAUUAGCUGGCUAGGUUUUUUUUUUUGGUUCAAAAAGCAACUGAAACCUAUGGUAAGACGUUUUUUUACCAAUACUAAGCCAACUUAAAUUUGAAAACGCAGUUGAGGACACCGCGUAACAAAUUUACCCUAAGUGCGGUAUGUAUUUAGUCCGCUAACGCCGUUGAUUCUAGCCAACGUAAGUUACUGUAAGAGAUUACAUCACGUUAGUUAAGAUGAAUUCUCUUUCAUUUAUUUUUGGUAAUUUUUGGCGGAAAAUGUACACUACGUUGUAUUUUAGGUUUGGUAUUACAUAGCUAUCAAUUUAAAUGCAGCUAAAAUAACGUUAAAUUGUAGUUACGCAGUUGAAGGAAGAUGCUAGCCAAUAGCAUUAACAAAAUGGCGCCGAGUAGCGACCUUUAAAAAGGGUGUGGCUUCUAGCCUCGAAAAUUCCAGACCAUAACCGAUUUAUCUUUAUAUAGCGUCAAAAGCUAACCUAGUCAUUAUACGUGUGUGAGGGAGGCAAUUUCGUAGUUGGUUCAAAUUCGUUUUAAUGGCAUCUAUUUACUUGCCGUUUAAUUCAAUUAUUGAAUCUUGUCCGAUGUUGUACAGCGUUACCGAUCUGGUAAAAUAAUUGAGGAAAUCUGAGUAGGAGGAGCCUUAAAGCAAGCUUGCCUACAUUUAUAUCAGUGGUGUUGAAGGACGUCGGAAUGCAAUUUCAGAAGAGCUGCCACAAUGUCACGUCUAAUCCCGUUUCUUGAAUUUGAAUUUAAAAUCCAUUGAGAUGAAGACCAGUCUGAAGAUGUUUGUAUACGGCUUGAAAUAGCUUUAUAUAUAUUGAAGAGGCAUUAAAUGAAGUUUGAAAGUCUAAUGAGCUUGAAGCAUGUUACCAGUGAAAGUGAUCUUGAGCUUUUAGAAGUGCCCAGCUGUGAAGACAAGUUGCCAUGGUAUUGGCGUAAUUGUUGCCUCCAGUGGUUGCCAUACGAAGUGCAUCUAACAGAAGAUUUAACUAGUGCUGGCUAAACAAAAUUAGGGUGCUUUCAAAGGAAAAUGAGAAGGGCUAGUGUUGACAACCUAGCUUGUGCCAUUUUAUUUCUUAAAUAAUGGGACUGGUAUGCUACAUAGUGGUGAAGAGAGAAGAUUUUUUUUUAAUUUAAUUUUUUCGUUAAAAAAACAAACCAAAAAAAAUUCCAGAGGCAGGACUGAGUUUGCGAUCGUGUGGAAGGCUGGACUUUGUAGAGGUUGGUGACCCAGGGAAGGAGCGUAACGGGAUCGGAGGGAAAGCGGGCAGGAUCAGGAGGAGCAGCACCAGUGUAAUCCAGAGGACAGCAGGCCAGAGCGCAGCGGGUAGCGUCAGCAAAGAGGAGGCGUCUGCGUGCGGUGUCCCAUGGUAGUCCCCAAGCGAGCAAGCAGGUUCCUGGCAGUGGCACAGAGGGGGGAGUCAGAGGGCAAGCAGCACAGCUGAGACCCCGUCACCUAGCUACAUGAUCACAGAAGUGUUGGGUUUGUAUAUUGGGUUGAGGUAUUGCUGUAACGUUCAGCAUAAAAUCUAGUCCUUAAAAAAACCAAAACCUAGUUUUUCGGAACACCUGCUCGCGUAGUCUUUUGUUUCUUCUUUUUACAGGCAAGGUGCGUUAAAUAAGUGUCUGGUUCCGUCACCACCAUGUGCCCGUUGUCAUUCGCCAAGUGUGGUCUCCGUGUGCCGUGAUGAGUCCGUUGGUAGUUCCCCCGGGGCUAAAUGUCGUCUCCCCUGCGCUGGUUAUGGACUCCUCUUCCCUGCACUGGUUGCGUCCCAGAGGGAGGAUCUUCUUGUCGGACAUCUCAUCCCCCUGUGUUCAGAUGUAGUCUUCGGGCCGGAGAGCAUCCUAUUGUCCCCAUAGGUCCCUUCCUGUGCAGUGGUCAGCACUGGAGAUUGUCGGAUCUGCAGCCAUCCCCCCUGUACCACAUCACCUACUUUGGCAACAGAGCAGUCAAGUGAGCUGGUAAAAGCAAGUAGUACAUUGUGCAUGAGGUAGAAUAUUUGAGAGGGGGUAACUAUUUAUGAAUUUGGAGUGGACUUAAAACUUGUACAUACUGAGAAAUGACAAGGAGCAACUGUUCCUUGCUUAGUCUAUCUUGAAUGAGGAGAUGCCUUAUACAUGAUGCCUCAUGUAUUAGUUUGGACAUUAUGUGGAAUAGGGGGAGGGAAAAUGGGGGUCUUGAGUUCUUCUUUCCACAGGUUCCUCAGUUUUAGGCGACUACCAAAGAUAACACUGAUGGAGGAGUACCUCUGGCUUGUUUGGCACCUCAGCACUUUAACGUCCUUCUAUAGUGUGGGUCCUGUGCAAUCAGGUUGAGUCCAUCUGCAUAAAAUGGCUGUUCAGGAUGGCAACAGGUGAAGUCUGCAUUUAAUGCAUUGUGGGUUGACAAAAACGUCCACUUGAAGUAGAAGUGCCUUCUGACUGGCAUCCAUGCCAUUUUGAAAAUCCCCGCAUACUCUGUAAUGUUUAGUCGUAUUUCGUGUUGUGGUGCGUCAAAUGUCGUGUCCUGGGGGGAGGGGGAGGGUGGGGAGGCUAACCUGAAUCUUUUCCUAGACUCUUUCAGCUCCUCACGUAAAGCAGUUUAAAAAUAAGCUGAGUGGAAGGGUAUGAAUAGGAAUGACUGGGAAGAAACCACCCAAGGGUCCCACGUCAUCUGGCAGUCAUCCGUAUGCGCUCUUGUUCAAGUGAAAAGGUGUGACGUAAUGACACUCAAUCAUCCAGAAGUCUGGUACUUGAAGCAAUUAGGAUAUCCAGAUGCUCAACAUGGUUGUCCACAACAAAAAGCGGUAAAAGUUGAAAAUCGGAAAGAUACUGGGAUUUGGGCAAAGUGGGUGGUGGGGCUGGGAGUUACUUACUUGUGAAAGACUCUUCCAGAUGUUAAAAAUAAUCCGCCCCCCCCAAGAAAAGCCACCGCCGAUCCAGUAUUAAAUCUACCAGCCUUCCGUGGAGAACAGCUGGGAGCAUAAGUGUUUUUCCGUUCACAUUCGUACGGCAAGUAAACGAGCAUUGUCUGAAAUGUAUUGUUUUAGAGUUGCGUAUUUUGGUAGUCUGCAUUUUGUGGACCUCAGUUUUGAAAUGGAUUGUUAUAUUUUAAAAACCAUUUGAAAUCUUGUGAACCAGUAGUUUCUGGAUGGGGUCAAUCUGGGGGUGGUGGGAGGUCUGUUUCCCUCUUUGCCUUUUGCAGUUUUCCUUGUGGCCGGUGAUUAAUUUUCAGGACCAACCGGAUCGGUCAGCUCCUAGUUUGCUGUAUGUAAAGGUUAACUUUCGCUAAUGUAACUCCCUCCAAUUUUGAGAUUCAAGACUUCAAAAGGUAUUAUCUUUGAAUAAUUACACCUAAUAUGCAUGGAUAUUGUACUGUACAUUUAAAGGGAAUGUUUCCCUCAAUUUCCGUUCACCUGUAAAGUUGUAAAUGUUGCUGUUGCGUUGGAGAAUUCUCCCCGUAAUGUAAAAUUAAAAGCACAUUGAACAUAAAAAUAAAUACAUAGCCUGUUGUGAGUGGUUUUGGUAUGCAUUUGUCUUUUUGGGAUUUGGGGGGGGUCGUUCUUCUGCUUAACUUUUUCAGGUACGCUUUUAAAUCGUGGAGCUUUGUAGAGCACUGUGUCCGGGGCUUGGUAGCAGCUCUUUGAAGGUGGAAUUGGAGGCAGAUAAGUCACUUGCCAUGUAGAUGCCAUUUAAAGUCAUAGGAGAAAGAAUCAUGUUUGAAAAGAUGAUGGAAACGAGAUGUGUGAAGAAUGAUGGGCCUUAAUGGCACCCAGAAUGCAAGGAACCCCAAUGAUAAGCUUUACAGUGGAGAACAUGCUGGUGUGUGUGGACAUUGUGCAAUUUCUCUCCCUUCAAAACAAAGUCUUUAGAGUCUUGAAACGGACAAGCCAAUGGGAGGACUCAACAUGGAAAAUCCUAAAGUCAAGUUAAGUUUAUAAAAAUAAAAAAAAAAAAACUAAAAUGUAUUUUAAAUCUCAAUCUUGAGGUAAUCUUGAGUAGAAAUUGUGUAACUUAAGUGGGGUUGGGGAUAUUCAUUUGUAUUGGAGGGCGGGAGGGGCGGAUUCUGUUUGCUCUCAAUCUUCCAGAAUCUUGCAACUUGGAAGAAGGCCAACUGCCAGGAAAGUGUGACCACAGGGAUCGGCAGCCCUUUCAACUUCAGUAUCUUGUCAGGCAGGACGGUUUUAACCAUUUCCCCCAAAAAAAUGCUUGAUCAGUGCAAGUUGGCAGUCUUUGCUUUAAUGUUGACUUGGCUACCAGCACUUGUGCAAAUGUGUAGGUGCAGUUUAGUUGAGUUGUCUGCUGUGCAAAUGUGCAGUUUUAGUGAAGUUUGCAGUCGUGCAACUGCGACGCUAAAAUCUGAUGGGUAGCCGAGGGAAGCCGUGCAACUGUGCAGUUUCAACUAAAUUGUGUUCGCAUUGCAACUGUGAUGCUGGUUAAUAUUGAGGCUUGCAGUAGGGAUGUUGGUUAUUGUGAGGGGGGUGGGGUUUGUGUAUUCUAGAAUUUCUUUCUUCGCAGAGUCGUAAUUUGCGUCCACACAGACAGCAGCUACAGAUUGCAAGUCCACAAGAAGUUUCCUCGUCUGAAGUUGCUAGUAAGAAUCGAUUGCUAAAGUGGUGGUCCCAUUGAUCGCAAGCUGGAAGGCCUAUAAAGGUCCAUUUCAUUUUGAAACAAUGUUUUCCUGUUGUGACAUCUUGAGGUGAGCUGUUCAGCUUUUCUUAACAUCCAUCAAUGAGGGAAAUUCAUUUCCACAUGCAACGCGCUUAAUUAGCAUUUGCAUUCUCACUUGCUUCACUAUUGUGUCGCUUUGCAUCUAAUUUAACACAUCUAACAUGUUUCUGAUACACCACAUGAAACAUAGUUUUCGUUGAAAAUGUAUGCGUUGGGGGAGAAUGUGGGGAAGUUGUUUGUCUUUCAGAUUGUUUCGGCUGUUGCCCACUUUGGUCACCCCUGCAUCUAUGUGCAAAGCUGUCUGGGAGCUAAUGGCAAGUGAAUGUCCCCUUGAUGAAUGAAGACGUUUCCUCUCACUCCUGUGUGCUUGAGCUUGAACCUACGAGGAGGAUCUUUUUCUGUGUGUUGUGUUUUCCGUUCUUUGGUUUCCCAAACAGGAAUUUACCAUGUAUCAAAUUGUCAUGAAUGCAAGAUUGGCUGGAAUAUGGCUUCCAGGAUGCGCUAACAGCGUGAUGAAUCGGUGGGAGAUCUUUCAAUUUGAUUUCAGCUAAAAGCCACAAGCUUGUCUUGCUGCUAAUUAAGCUCUUUCUGCAGUUGCUUUGGGCUAAGUUAAGUAACCUCUGUUUCCUUAAUUUGUCCACAACUUUGUUAGGAGCUUUCUGUGAUCUAAGCAUGCACCUGAAAUUUACAUGCAUUAAUCUGUAGACCUGCAGUGACUAAACUUCAUAAAUUAAAUUGGCAAAUGCCAAUGUAAACGUUUUUCUGAAAGUACUGUAGCGGGAGUAGAUCUGCGAUUGGUUGGGGUGGGGGGGUGGGGUUGUUUGGGACAACAUUUUCUUAUUUCUUUGCAGAAACUCUUUAAAAUGAAUCGGCAUGAUUGACUCCCGGAAACGUCAACCUAGCGUGCAUCUUGAUUCCUGCUGGAAGGGGAUGGCCGUUGUCUUCCGUUUCUUGAUCAUUUUUACAGGUUAAAGGCAAACCGUCCAACUGCGUCAAAGUAUUUCCUUCGUAUAGAUGGGAGACAACCGUGGGGAAUGCAGAUUGGGUCUCUGGGGGUUUUUUCCCCCCCCUCAUUUGCAUUUCAGAUACUUAACUUCAUGCCCUGUAAGGCUUCCUUUUGACACCUACCGUAAAUUGGAGGACAUGGUCAAGGAUGGUGGCUGUAAGUGUGUAUUGAAAAAUUGUACUUUGUAAUCUUUGGAAAUAAUUUGGAAAAACUGGUAUAUCCAGCUUGGUUUUUGGUUGUAAUUGUGCAAGAUUUACAAGUGUGUUGCUAGUGCUUUGGGAUAACUUGUUACUGGAAAUGGGUUUUUUGUUUUUUCCCCCUAAUUGGGGGGGUGGGGGGGUUGUCAAUUCUUCAUAUGGUUUAUCUUCCAGCGCCUUUUUUUGAAGAUUCUGUGAUUCAAAGCAAGCCUAGUUUGACACCUGCGUGGACUGAAAUUGCAAUAGUAACAAUCUCAUUCUUUCUGAAUUCUCUGCGCCAUGCAGUCUGCUGGUGGCUUACUUCUGAUUGUUGAAAUUCUCAUUUUGUGUAACCUAGGAUUUUGAGUGAAAUAAGCGCAAGGUAGCAUUUCUACUGGUAUAUUGGGAGAUUUCCUGGGGGUUUGGGGUGGGAAAUGGCAACCCGUUUGUCCUCUAGUUGCAGGGUCCGCGUGAGGGAAGAACCGACCGUAGAGCGGAGCAAAUUUCAGAAACCGUGGUAUGAAAGGGUUUUUCUUUUCCUGGGGGAACAAGCCCCUUUGGUCUUGUUCCUCCAGGUUUUGCUUUUUCUCCUUACUAAUUUAGAAAAAAAAGCAAAAGACUCCGGUGGUGGCACUCCUGGUUUCCAGGACGGGGUUCAAUUCCCUGCGGUGUCUUUGCUUUCAAAAUGUAGAUGGGAGGCUUGGACUAUAGCUUGUACUAGUUAAACAUGAUUAAAUAUUGACAUGAGAUUGUGUUGAGCAGGCAUGCUAGGAUUGACUUGAUUGUAGAAGUGUUUCAUAUAUAAAAUGUUGAUUUCAUUUUUUUUUUUUUUAAUUGCAGACUUCAUUUCUUUACUUCUCAGAUGUUAAAUUUUAUAGAUUAAUUUCAGCUGUAGGUCUCAGUCUUACAGUGGACAAUCUGGUCAUUGAGCCUGAACCGUUGGGAAAUGGAAAUGAGCGGUUUUAUGAAUUUACAAGGUCAACCGGGACGUUUCUUCCACAAUGGGUUCCCUCCGCAGAUUUCCCCUUGCUACAAGGUUCAUUUUAAACAUGAUGCUCGGUGUGUAUUACUUUUAGUGAUUGCCAUUUGGGAUCUCCUUCACCAGUGCAAAAUAUUUCACCUCCUGAGGUUGUCUGCCAGAUUGACAAUACCUUUUGUAUAUAGGACAAUUCAAGUCUAGCAGAAUAAACCUUUUCUCAGAUGCCUGAAAUAAGGUCUAAGAUGUGUUUUGUGUGGGGCGGGAACAAUAUUAGUUACUCUGGUAUUGCUACUGAAAGAAACCUGGCAUGUACAAAUACAAACAUAAGUGAGUGGUGAACAAAUGUACAUAAAAGAAACUGGAUGAGACAAAGGACUUUACGAACAAAGAAACAAAGGACAUGAGACCAGAAAAGGAGGACAAUAAUCCACCCUCCCACAGCGAUGCUCCUGCGCUUUGCCCAGGCUAACGACCGAGAUAACUUGGUGUCCUGACCACUCAAAGCGCUGCAAAGAAGAUGGCCGCCCAUCUAAUCUACUUCCUCCAACCAGUACUUUAAUAAAGCAUCACAAUCAAUCUGGUCUGCACUGCAAUACUCAUUAAAUAAACUACUGAUUAAAUAGACCAAACUCAGUUGUGUUUUUAUGCUGCAAUGGAUCAAUGGAAGGCUAGCACCCCAGCUGGAUAUUAAAUGUGUGUGAACUGACAAAUUUAUUUUAAGAUCUGAUCCACUGGUUUUAUUUUUACAGUUUUCAACAAAACCACGGACUAUAAUUUUGGUUUCUGAGUAAGAUUUUGACAUGUAGUCCAAUUUACAAAUAAUUAGUAUUUUUUGAGCUUGAAUCUGCACUUCUUUUCAAUAGCUGAAAUUGAGUCUUGUGAGCUGGUGGUCAUGUUAAGCCAGCACACUUUCUCUGUGGCAAAAAUCCUGACAGCCAUGGUAAAUAUAUGAGCUGGUUGAUUGAAUCAUGGCCUAUUUCUGUCCUGCUAGAGCCGUCCCAGUCAACUAAGUGCUGUUAUUGUGAAGGGGAAAGGUCUAGGAGCAGUGAAGCUGUAGGCCACUCAAGCUCACAGAACGGGCCUGCUGAAUGCUGAAGCGGAUGUCCUCGGUUGCAACACUCACUACCGAGUUCCAGACUGCCUCUGGAAGCAACGUCAGCACAAGAACUGUUUGCUUCAUGAAAUGGGGUUUCGUGGCCAAGCGGGAAAAAAUACAUCGGCCUCAAGUGGUAGCAGAAAUGUUCAUUAUGCUUCCCAGUAAGAAUACUUGGACACAGUUGCGCUAGGUUUAAAAGUAAAACUUAAUUUAGUUAUAACUUUAUAGUGUAGUUAUGAUGGUCACAUAAGAAACAGGUUUAACAUUUAUUCUUAUUUUACUCUUAACUCCUUAAAUAAUUAUAUUGUGUGUUUUCAUAAGACUCUGUCUAUCUAUUCGGUGUGAGGCAGAAGGAAGCAGUUUGUGAUCUGUACGGGAAGAGAAUUCACCAGCACUCUUUCUUCUUAAUGAUGUUCCAAACAGUUGAUUUUGGUAAACCUGUGUUUGGCCUAUGUCUCUGAUUGUUUUAUAUUACCCAUCCUCAUAAUGGCUUCCUUGUCAUUGGUUCUUGCACUGACAAAUUCCAAUUACAGACUCCAAAGCAAUUGAAAACCUAGAAUCAAGAGUAGAUACUGAAGCUGGUCUUACACUUGCAGUAAAGAAGCAAUUGAGCACACCUGACUAAUGGGGAUUGGUUGAUUUAUAAAAAGUUUGGUCAUUUCUAUAUGGUGAAACCAAAAUGUAUUAAAACCCUUCAAUAUAAGCUGAUAAUCUGCAAUUUAACCACAUAUGAAUUGCCUGAUUACAAAUCUAAAAUUUUGGCACACAGAGCCAAAUAAAGAAAAAAUAUGGCUUUGUCCUAAAUGUUAUGGUGCUCAAUAUGUAUGUAGGGUUGUUCAUGAUUCCUGUUAACAUUUAUAUUAACAGGUUGUAUAUUAUCCAGCAAGAAUUCCUACCUUUGUCUACCUUUUCUUUCCUGUAGUGGCAAAUUCUAGAUCUGUAUCUUGAAAAAAAGAAAAAACAUCUGCAGAGGACUGAUCACAAGAAUGCCCUUCUAUUGUAAAGCAAGAUGUUUGAAUUGCCUUACAACAGAUCAUUUUAAAUUGUUUACAACAUUUUAAAUAUGUUGUACAAAUGUAAAAUGUAUUAUGGGUCUGACUCAAGUAAAUUGUUGAAUACACCAGAAGAUAUGUGUACAAACCUUCAGCUAAGUAGCAAAUAAUUGGUGAAAGAAUGACAUUACAGGAAGAUAACUGUCCAAAGCAUGCAUGCAAGUUUUAAGAAAAUUUUAAACUUCUGCUAUUUUCAGUGGAAUUUGUCCAUGCAUUGUGUGAUGUAAUUAAUUUCCCCGUGGAAAUAAAUAAAGCUUUUUUAAUUGAA
Anguilla rostrata (American eel) is the source of this 9643-nucleotide long non-coding RNA. RefSeq lists it as uncharacterized. The record is from RefSeq and is a predicted model, not a curated record. Lineage: Eukaryota; Metazoa; Chordata; Actinopteri; Anguilliformes; Anguillidae. The transcript is spliced from 2 exons.